ACUUUGUCCAUUUGAGAUACUAUAGUUCUUCCAUUGGUUCUUUCUCGUCUCUACAUAAGGGAAUGUAGCUUGAGUUCAAUCAAUAAAUAGACUUCGGUUCUGGAUGUGUUCACAGGGCUGCAGCUUUGUGCAGGGUCUUUAUUUGAAGCUGACUUGUCUUUGGUUUAAUGAGGGUAUGUUAGUGACAUUUUUUAGUGUUGAAGCUUUGGGCAUGACCUAGUAGGUGGCUCUUAGUUGGAGUGGUCAGUUGUCAGGCUCUUGCUCAGUCAUGUGGCUCCCCUGUAUUUCCCCACGUUUGCAGCCGUGCUCCUUCUCAAUGCUGUGAAAGUGUGGGCUCCUCUCCCACUUGAGUGCUGACUAUAGCUUGUAUCUUGGCACUACCAGGCUGUACAUAACAGCUCUGAGGUGAUGUCAGGGUUAAUGUUUACUCCCCGACUUGAAGGCAUUGAAGGAAGGGACCUUAGUAGUAGUUGUAACUGAGGGUAUUUUGCUUGUCUCCUGGGGGCUCCACCCCAGAGAUGCAGGUGAGCAAUCACUCAGUGCAUUCAGCGUGGGAUGGGGGUGUCUGUGCUGUGGGCCCAAGCGAGGGGUUCCCUGCCUGGUGAUGUGAGGGGUGGGUGGUUGACCAAUGGGAGACAGACUGGCCUCCUCUCUUGGGUUGACAGCAGCUUGUUGGAGGUAUGCAUAAGGCACUUGGGGUCUUGCUCCUUCAUUAGUUCCAAGGUAGCUGGGGUAGUACCACUGCAGAGGCAAUGUUAAGACAGGCUUUCUGUUACCCCUGGGGUCUCCACCUCCUGGAAAUGUGAAGCCAUGUUAAUGGGAGUGUUUAGCUAGAGGAGUGGGGUGGCUGCACUGCUGGUGUAAGUAUGGGACUUCACUUCUUGGGAAACAGGAGGUGGAAAUCUUACCAGGAGGAGACUGUUCUCCUCACCAUGUGGUAACUGCAGUGUGCUGGAAGUUCAGGUGACUGUGGCAUGAUGUUAGCUUGUAAACAAAGAGCUUCAGACUCUUUGUCUCCUCCCCAGACCCAAGGCAGCAGGGAUAAAACUGCUGCUGUGGCAGUGGCAGAGGUAGGAUGGUUGUGGGAGCCUCUCCCCAGGGAAACUCUAGUCAACUACCAGUGGAUAUGCUCAGCCAUGGGUAGGGUGACUGUUGUGCAGUCAUGGGCAGGGGGCCCUGCCUCCUGAAGAAUAGGGAUGCAGAUUCUCAGGGAAGAGGGGCUGGACUCCUCUUCAUAUAGUGGCGAUGAUGUGCUGGAGGUGCCAAUGUAGUGAAUAGGCCUUUGUUCCUUCCCCAGCCAGAGGGCUGCUGGGGCUGUCCCACUGCAACGGUCAUGGUGGAUGGGUUAUGGGUUGACUGUGGGAUUUCUUUCUUGGAGAAAUGCUGGACUGCCUGAUUGAGGAGACAAGGCAAGGGAAGAAUGCCUGUGCUGGAGUCUCUGGUCAGGUGGCUC
This 1453-nucleotide long non-coding RNA is filed under the name Pan troglodytes (chimpanzee). Its description in RNAcentral is "long non-coding RNA NONPTRT017750". The record is from RNAcentral. Lineage: Eukaryota; Metazoa; Chordata; Mammalia; Primates; Hominidae.